UACGUAGGGGGCAAGCGUUGUCCGGAAUUAUUGGGCGUAAAGCGCGUGUAGGCGGUCCGAUAAGUCGGUUGUGAAAGUCCAGGGCUCAACUCUGGAAUGCCGGCCGAUACUGUCGGACUAGAGUCCGGAAGAGGCAAGUGGAAUUCCCGGUGUAGCGGUGAAAUGCGCAGAUAUCAGGAAGAACACCAAUGGCGAAGGCAGCUCUCUGGGACGGUACUGACGCUGAGACGCGAAAGCGUGGGGAGCGAACAGG
This 253-nucleotide ribosomal RNA is filed under the name uncultured bacterium. Its description in RNAcentral is "partial 16S ribosomal RNA". It matches the Rfam family "Bacterial small subunit ribosomal RNA", at positions 524 to 776 of the family's 1533-position model. The record is from RNAcentral.